GGGCUCACACAAGCGGUGGAGCAUGUGGUUCAAUUCGAAGCAACGCGAAGAACCUUACCCGGGUUUGAAAUCCACGGAUGGGUCCGAUGAAAGUUGGAUACCCUGCCCGCAAGGGUGAAACGUGGACAGGUGUUGCAUGGCUGUCGUCAGCUCGUGUCGUGAGAUGUCGGGUUAAGUCCCUCAACGAGCGAAACCCUUGUCUCUAGUUGCCAACGGUUCGGCCGGGGACUCUAGAGAGACUGCCGUUGUGAAAACGGAGGAAGGUGGGGAUGACGUCAAGUCAUCAUGGCCUUUAUGUCCGGGGCUACACACGUGCUACAAUGGGCGGCACAAAGGGAUGCGAAGUCGCGAGGCCAAGCAAAACUCAGAAAACCGUCCCCAGUUCAGAUUGGAGGCUGCAACCCGCCUCCAUGAAGAUGGAAUCGCUAGUAAUCGCGGAUCAGCUACGCCGCGGUGAAUAUGUUCCUGGGCCUU
Molecule: ribosomal RNA, 474 nt
Filed under: uncultured bacterium
Lineage: Bacteria
Description: bacterial SSU rRNA
Rfam family: Bacterial small subunit ribosomal RNA
Source: RNAcentral